ACAAUGAUGCCUCAGUACGGCGAGUGAGCGGCAAAAGCUCAAAUUUGAAAUCCCCCCGGGGAGUUGUAAUUUGAAGAUUGCGUCUUGGAGGCGACCGUGUCUAUGUUCCUUGGAACAGGACGUCACAGAGGGUGAGAAUCCCGUGCGGCACGGCCCCCGGCUCCUUAUAAGGCGCUCUCGACGAGUCGAGUUGUUUGGGAAUGCAGCUCAAAGUGGGUGGUAAAUUCCAUCUAAAGCUAAAUACAGGCGAGAGACCGAUAGCGAACAAGUACAGUGAUGGAAAGAUGAAAAGCACUUUGAAAAGAGAGUGAAACAGCACGUGAAAUUGUUGAAAGGGAAGGGCAUGCCGUCAGAUUGUCAGUGUGGGUAAGAAGCGGGGUACAAAGACUGUGGAACGUGGCCCUCGGGUGUUAUAGCCGCAGUUCAUGCCCCGUCUCUUUCCGAGGCCUGCUUUGAGGACACCGACGUAAUGACGGUACGCCGCCCGUCUUAA
This 493-nucleotide ribosomal RNA is filed under the name Kodamaea ohmeri. RNAcentral's name for it is "partial large subunit ribosomal RNA". It matches the Rfam family "Eukaryotic large subunit ribosomal RNA", at positions 68 to 657 of the family's 3401-position model. Lineage: Eukaryota; Fungi; Ascomycota; Pichiomycetes; Serinales; Debaryomycetaceae. The record is from RNAcentral.